UGUGUUAGCACUUAUGUAAUGAUACUAAAAUAAAUGUUUAUUAUUUCAUUUAAAAUUAUGUAUUAGAUAUAUACAAUUACUCAUUAAAUCUUUUAAAAUUUAGAAAGUUCCUAAAUUAGUAUGGCCCUAACCAUUUGAAAAUGCAUUGCCUAUACAACUACAAACGAACACUUUUACCAUGCAAAUGUAGAAAUUUCGACAGCAUCUCCCCUAGGUUCUCCAAUUGCACGAUAUGAAAAAUGAGCUAUUCCAUUUAAGAUUAUUAAAUGAAAUAUCACAUUUCUAUGUAUGCAAUAAGAGAACAUAGUGACAUACUAGUAAAUUUCUACUUAAGCAUAAGUAAAGAGGCACCCAUUUGUAGAGAUUGAAUAUAGACACUGCAUUUCCAAACUGUCCUUUAGGACAAUUCAGUAAAAGCUCACCCUCCAAUGAGUAUAUCACUGAACGGUCACCUAUGGCUAAAUGAAAUUAGAUUUACUUCAAUUUUUUUUACGUAAAGUUAAUAUGUAUGUUAUAUCAUAUGCAUAUAUGAAUAUUUAUCUAACGAAAUUUCGACAGCAUUUCAACUAUUUCAGAAUGUACAAAAACCUCUGUAUUAGGCUAAUUUUACAUUCCUGAAAUGAAAAAAAAAAAAAAAAAAA
Molecule: unclassified non-coding RNA, 641 nt
Filed under: Hevea brasiliensis (rubber tree)
Lineage: Eukaryota; Viridiplantae; Streptophyta; Magnoliopsida; Malpighiales; Euphorbiaceae
Source: RNAcentral